UAACCAGCUGAGCCACCCAGGAGCCCCUGUUUUGUUUUUGUUUUAAUCAUUUUCUUAUUUAUUUUUGUGAGUAGGAGGCCACGGUAUAAUUUCUGUUAGGAGAUACUCCAUGCAAGUUAAGGAAGACUUACAAGGAAGCCUGAGGAGUUUAUGACAAUUCCUCCAUCUUGGUUUCCUGAUGCUGAGACUUGUUUGAGGAUGUCUGACUCCGUGAAUAAGCUCCAUCUAAAGAUACACCUAUCAUCUUCAUACAUUCAAAAGGCCCCACCUUGCACUGUGGGAAUGAGGGCCUAGUGAACACUCAUGCUGCACAACCAGUGUGCCCUUGCCUGUCCUUUUGAAAUGUCUUCAACUUGUUGGGACAGAAUUGCCAGUGUUGCCUAGGAUGGGCGUGUAUGGGACUCUACAAACAACCCAACAUCAGGGCUAGUCUAAGGCAAGAUGGGAAGUAGAUUGAAUUUGUCUUUGCACCUCAGCUUUGCUAUUCUUUGCCCUACCUGUGACUGUCCCCUGCACUCCUCUUGCAGCUUCUGCCUUUGUCUAUCAGUGCCCCACUGAGACCCUUUCUCCCAGAACCAUACUUAGUGCAUGGGGCCUUUCUUGUUCUCUCCUUGUUCGUAUGGGUGUGUUCCUGUGUGCCACACUGUGGUUGACUGAUCCUUGAUAAGGUGAUAAUAGGUUCAGUAAUAGGUUCCAGGGCCUGUGAGAUGAUAUUUCAGAGAACCACAGAACCCUGUGGCUGGAUGAAGGCUCAGUGUUGCACUGUGGGUGGGAGACUCCUUUUGAAGUUGACCUGCCUGGGUUGUUCACCCUGACAUUUAACGUUAGCAAGCUAGUUGUUUCACCUCUCUGAACUUCACUUUCUUCCUCUGUAAAAUGAGGGUUAUGACCUUUCCUUCUGAGGGGAGUGGUCUGGAUUAUAUGGGAUAUGUAGCUAACACAUGGGGCGUAGUGGCAAGCAUAUAGUAAGUUCAGUAAGUACAUGAGGGUUCCUUUACUUAAAAAAGACUUAGAGUGGAGUGGAAGGAAAGAUAGAAAUCAUCUCAUCUAACCUCUUGGAGAAACACAUCAACUGUAACCUAGGAAAGUGAUUCCAGAUGCAGAGGGAGAAACCUGCGGCUGAGCCCUUUGAUUCAGAGCUGUGGGCUGCAUCUAUCCUCAGGGCCAGCCUCAGUUCACGUCUGAUCUUGCUGCGUAUGAUCCAGUGAUAGCAUCUUUGGACCUGAACACCCAAAAUGUUCCUGAAAGGGACCUACUUCCCACAGAAAGGCAGCCAGCCACCUGGACACCAGAUUUGUUUUUAAUAUUAACAACCCUGAUCUUUUAAAAAUACCUUUGAGGAUAUACUGAAUCCGUUUUGUCUGGUUUCCUUCUCUCCUGACAGGGCCUCUCUUUUUUUCUCCACACCCACCUCUUGGCCACCCUCUCAUCCCGGCAGCUGCAGGGAAGAUUUCUUUCCAGCUGUCUAUCAAGUCUUCAAAAGCCAGCCGGAAUGUAAUUGUAAUCUAUUUUUCCACCCCUGAAUGGUAGUGGGUGAAAAACACACACACAUUGCUCAAAAUUGCAAGGCGAUGAGAGCCAGAGCUGCCUCGUGACUCACACAGAGCCCUGCAUGGAUAAUUACUGCCAUUCAUUACUGGCCCAGGAAAGAACACAAGGAUCCAAUUGGGUUUUAGUGAACCAGAAGCCUAAUGGAUAAGGGGGAAGAAGGGGCCUCUGCUCCCUCCCUAUUGCCUCCCCCUCUAAUAUCCCCUCAUCCAAUACAUACUCAUAUGCCAUUCUCAGAAAAAUAACAUCCUGCUGGCUAUUCUCUUCCCAGCUCACAUCUUUUAUUAUGCUUACUUAAUGUGCAGUUUAACAUGGGUACUGUGGCCAGAUUCUGAUAAGCACUUCUCUGCAGAAUACCUCAAUAACCUGAGCCAGGACCUGACUUGCCAGUUUUCCUGGAUGAGGGUUAAAUAGGCACUAUUUCAUUAAUUCAUAUAUUCAUUCAUCCAACAGUUGUCAUGAAUUCACCACGCAGUGCUAGAUUCUGAGGGAAAUGUUGAAGUUGCACUCCUCCCGAUGAAGUGAUCUUCCCUCUUCACUUUAAUCCUUCCUGGUACUAUCUCUUGCAGAUGGGCUGGGAUGCCAUUUGCUGGCUCCCACUUGGUGCAUUCUCUCCCUCCCCUAAAUUCCUUCAGUUGUGCUGCUCUGUCUUGUGAUCUUUCAUUGGAUCUUUAACUUGUCAAGGGCAGAGAAUAAUAUCGCUAAGAAAAGGGAAGCAUGUAUACAAAAAUACGUCCAUAUCAACUCUGAGCAGAGUUUUAUACACUGUUAUGUAUUGUUUGUAGGUACUCAGUUAAGCAGUAUGGAAUGAAUGAAUGAAUAUUCAAGUAAGGAGCAAUAUAUUUUAAGUUAAAUGUCUUGGGAUGGCUAUGGGGAGAGGUAAGUCCUAACAGAAGGGUAAGAUUUCAGUUAGUUGACAGAGAUACAAAGUCCUUCUAGAAUGGGAAGUGUUGGGGGUGGGGGGCGCCUGACUGGCUCAAUGGGACAGUCAUGCCACUCUUGAUCUUUGGGUCGUGAGUUCGAGCCUUAUGUUAGGUAUAGAAAUGACUUAAAUAAAUAAUUAAUUAAAUAAGCUUAGAAUGGGAAGUGUUGGAAGAAAAGCAUCUCCUGCUGGAAGUAAAUCUCUGGAGUUAGAAUGUGCAAAAGAACACACCGAGGCUGCAUUAUUCUGCAUUAUUCAGUUUUGUCCCCAGUUUGGCUCCUUGAGGGUGGUCCACCAAUAUCCAUAUAUUUCAUUUAGCGUCACCCAUUCAUUAUAAGAGCUCAUUAACUGUGCGGAAUUUGUAUUAGGUGGUUAAGGCCUUGAGUGACACUUUUAGCACAGUCAAGUUUUCUUCAGAUCACAUACAUUUUCUUGUUCUCUCUGUUUCAUUGUUAUUUUUUGGUUCUUGAGAUUUAUAGGCCCCACACAGUGCCUCAUCUCUUUUGCUUCUGAAAAGACUGAAGUUUCAAGAAUUAGAAGCAGCAUUUAACUUAAGAUUCCUGGGAGUCUGCUUUAUUUUGCAGACUGAUUCCUCAUAAAUUUAUCAUAUAAUAUGAGGGAUAAUCUGGAGAAUUAGAGUGAAGAGAUUCAUGAGUUACUUAUAGUUUAUAAUAAGGGCAAUUUUAACAUCACUUGUUGAAUUGUUUACUUGGUUUUUGACAUUACAUUUAAUGUUUUACAUUGAUUUUUUUUAACUCGCUUGAUCUCAAUAAUAUAUGUAUUGUUGCUAUCCCACUUCACAGAUGAUGAGACUGAGGCUUGAUGGGGAGUGGGUUAAGAAAUUGCCUAGGCCCAUGCAGACAGUAAGCAGUGGACCUGGGAUUUGAAUCCAGGUAAUCUGACUUUAAAGCCCACAUUCUGCAGGUUUUUGCAUCCAUAGCUUCUCUCUCUGACUAGAACUCUUGUCCUGACAGGUAUCUGGAAAGAUUAUGUUCUUUACCUCCCAGGAUCUAGGCAGAUCAGCACAAAUGUGACAUCAAAAUGGCAGAUGACUGGGCUAUUUCAGAGAUGACUCCAGAGAACAUUAUAUUUUUUUUUGUAGGCAGAAUCACUAUUAAUUGUCAUUGAAUUUUUAGGUGAAAUUAUUUGCCAAGUAUUCCAUACUUAGAAUUCCAAGUGUUACAACCUCCAGAACUCUAACAAUGUAUGCACACGUUUAUAUACACAUUCAUAUAUGUGUUUGUGGGUAUAAAUGAUGAGGUAUAUUUGAUUUAAAGUUAAUUAUUUGAAUUAUUUGGGUGUACCAAUCCACUGAACUCUUUCCCAGUUGCUCCUAAACCAAGUUGUUCCCAGGAAAAUCAACUGAAAUUCUUCAAAUGAUCUCUAAGUGGAUCAUUUACUCUUCCAAAGAGCUUUUUUGUUGUUGAUAUUCCCAAGAACAAUCUUCUCUAACUGCAUCUUCUGAAUGCUCAUAGAAUCUUUGGUCUGAAAUCUGAAAAGGUUUAUCUUAUCUAUUCACCCAUACCUGGGCAGGAAAUUAUCUUAGAAGAUUGUAUUUCAAUUUAUAAUGACCUGCAGGGGAUACCAUACCACCUCUCUUGGCAGCUUAUUGCCAUCCCUAAUAAUCUAGGUAGUCAGCAGAUAUUUCCUGAUGUGCAAUCCACAUCUCUCCUGCUGCUUUGGCUCAUUCCAUUUGGUUGUUAUGAUACUGAUGCUAUCCUAUUCGUGGUCCUUUUCUCAAGGCCAGGAAAUCACAGCAUUUAUAACAGAGUCAAUAGCUAUGGUCACAUUCCAGUUUCCUUAAGUGCCUCCAUCUUGAACAGCCCUCUGAGCCCCAAUUUUUAUAAUGUGGCUGAGGAGCUGUGAGAAUGCCAUCUGUUUGCAAGAAUGAGGCCAUUGAUGGCUGUACACUUGACUCUGAAGAUGGCACUACUCAUCCAAAUCGAGAUUUGAGACUUAAAGAAGCUUGCUUGCACAGCUAGGUUGACCCUCGCUUUGUAGGGAGAUGUGACCAUUUGAGAGUAAUUGAAUGGAAUCAUGAGCCUGGCAUGGCAUCUAUAUAGCAUUUUUGUUUAUUGAGUAUAAUUACUAUACUCAGCUUUGUAUAAAGCAUGGGAGUAAUAGGAUCAAAUUAAGGAAACCUACUUAGCUGGAAUAGCAGGGAGGUUCCCUAAUGAAGAGAUCUGAUAGACCAUGGAAUAGUCAUCCCCAGGAAUGCUGGUCUCAUUGAGAUGUGGUUACUUACCAUGGAACUAAAUUGUCCCCCACUGGAUGCAUCUCAAGCCCUUUUCAUUUCGGUUUGUGACUUUGAUUUAAUUGGAAAAGUCUCACAGCUGUUGUUGACUACCUAAGGCUAUGCUUUUCAAAUUCUAGUUGUGGCAGAAUCACCUAGGGAACUUUUUAAAAUGCAGAUUCUUGGGCCCCAUUCUCAGAGAUUCUGUUUCAUUAGGUCUGGGUGUUGUCUUGGAAUCUUCAUGUUUAUUGCAUUUCCUGGGUGAUUCUGAUGUACAUGUGUUGUAAACUCCAUUUUGAAAAACAAUGAGUUAGGGCCACUUUGGGAAGAUUCUCUAUCUUAUAAGAAAUCUUACAAGCAGAGAGACCGGAAAGAGUAAGAGGAAGUGUCAUGCUACCUGACUCUUCAGUUUUACAGCUGACGCAAAAUUGAAACCAUAGAAAUGGAAAACCACGAAGAGAUUAAGUCCAUGUUUGUGGUCCUAUCCCCUCACUUGUCCUUGUUUUGGGUGCCUUUUUCUACGUUUUUUUUAUUCCUGUCUGCCAUUUAUCCCAAGUAAAGUUUUGGCCAAUGAG
Long non-coding RNA from Felis catus (domestic cat), 5278 nucleotides. RefSeq lists it as uncharacterized. The record is from RefSeq and is a predicted model, not a curated record. NCBI's taxonomy places the organism in Eukaryota, Metazoa, Chordata, Mammalia, Carnivora, Felidae. The transcript has 2 exons.